UGAACGUUUAACAUUUUUACGUCGCUUUUGCAACACGUUUAUCUGCGUUUAAACGGAUUUAAAGGAAUAGUUUGGCUCAGCCAAAAAUCAAAACAGUGUCAUCAUUUACUCACCCUCACGUUGUUCCAAACCCGUUUGACUUUCUUUCUUCUGCUCAACACAAAAGGAGAUGUUAGGCUGUGUGUUAAGGUCUGACAGCCUCAGUCGCCACUCACUUUAGUGGCACUUUUUUCCAUGCAAUGAAAGUGAAUGGUGACUGAAAAGAAAGAAAGUUGUUUAAAAACAACAGGGAUUCUUGUUGCGCUCCUUUUGGCAGGAUUAGGCCAAAGACGGCGUCUGUCUGGCCGUCUGCGUGCGCUGCCUAAGCGCAGUCGCAGAAAGAGGAUCAUUUGUGUGAAAAUCAACCUAAGAAAUGGUCAAAAUCACACGCGGCGCGCCGGAGCUGCUCGGCCGUUGUCAUGGAUAACAUGGUGGGCACCCUGUCUCGGUCAGCGGGAUGUCCCGCAGAUUGAGCCGGGCGCCCCGCGGAGCCACGGAGCGGCCUUUAAAAUUGACCCCCCGCGGAGGACCGGGGCCCCUCUUGUCUCGUCUGAGCGCACGCCUGGAGACCGCUUUUAAAUGUGCUUCUGGUGUCCCAGAGAGAGAGGCCGCUGGCACGAAGGGGCGAAAGCUCACCGCAGUGGUCCCUUUUUCUCGGAUAAAUUCAAAGGAGGAAAAUAGCCCACAUUACAAGCUCCUUAAGGGUCAAGGACAGCCGAGACAUGAAUGGUUUGAAAGAGUGGCAUUGUGCAAUCACAUAGCACGCGAUUACACCCUCUGUCAUCUUUUUACGGAUUUGCAUUUUUCUUGUGCCACAAUGAACCGUCCAGAAUAAGACUUACAAGACAUGUGGAUGAAAUUAAUUAAGACGCUGGAGAAAAAGAGGUGUGAACUGCAAAUGCGGUGGUCCUGUUUGGAAUAGACGCUGUUGCUAUUUUAGGAGCAUUUUAAUGAGUGGCAACUGAUUUUUUUGGAGCUUGGAUGACUGCACGCGAUUUGAAAAAUACUGAAGGUUUUAGAAAAUCUCUCAUUGGACAUUAUAAGGACGGAGGCAUUCGCAACACUUCAUUUCACUGCUAAACGAAUUCAAAUGGUCUCGGUAUUGGCUAGUGUUUUCCUUCACGCAGCAGGGACGGCGGUAGAUUGAUGCCCUUACAUUAUUCAUGCGACGAUUAUUCAAAAUUUAGCAAUAACUCGAGAGCGUUUUGUCCUUUCUCUCAUCCGUACCAAGGUACGCUGCUAUUCUUAUGCGACAAUCAUCCAUUGGACAGUGCGGCCCCAGAAAGCACCCUUAAACACUCCCCCAUUGUACUGUCACAAGCCUGGAGAGUUCAUGUUAUAUUUAUGUUGCCUACAGCGUAUUCUCUCUGUUCUGUUCUGUUCAGCUGAACUCACGCCAACUCCUCCAGGUCCCCCCUCCACAGACAAUGUUACAUCUCAUUGGCUUUGCCCUAGAUAGGCUAUUUUUGUAUGAAAUAAUUAGACAUAACUGAUUUAAAUACUGCAAAGCCAACACUCUUUUGUCUCGUUAACAAAGUACAGGAGAGGUGCACGCUCGCGGUGUCAUUUCUGUCAAUCCGUACGCAAAAUGCGGAUCUGAAGCGGGGCCAAAAAAACAAACAGAGCCGUUUUAUUAGCUUCCUUCGAUUCGGGUCUUACUUUCGGGACCGAGCCGCGGUGACCUGACCUGGUAGAAUCUAUUACGAAAGCAAAAAAUGUCAGGAAAGCAUUGCCAGAAGCUUUUAAUUGUCUCAACGUGUACAUCAGCAAAAUAUAGGAUUGCUAAAAUAUGCCGGCAUACAGCAGUAAUUGUCCAUAUAAGGACAGCACGGCGCUUAAAACAGCACGUUUUGUUUGUUACACUGACCCCGGACCCAGACAGCCGUGCUGAUGCCGAGUGCACACGGGCACACGAGGGAGAGGUGGAGAGCAGGAACGCAGAUUGGGGCUGACCGCUCGGCUGCACUUUAAUGUACCCUCUACUUCAUCAGUCCUGAUUAGCCACCAUAAAAAUCCAGAUUGAACAUUACAUUUUUACUGCUGAUUGUCUUCCAAACACUCUCAGGUGUUGGCGUGUUAAAUGCCAGGGUGUGCAUCUGUCCUCGCAUCCCAUUAGCUUGCUGCAGUGAGACGUCUGACUUGAAAAAGGGGGACCCUCUUCAGAAACGAAAGCAAUGCAGAACAAAUUUCAGGCUUUUAGGCUUACCGCGUCUUGUGCCAAAACCUCAAUAACAAGCCCCCCUCCAGCCCCCGUUUCCCUGGCUCUUGCCCCAGACUUACACAAAGAAACACCAGCUUUAUGGACUUAGGGCAUUAAAGCAUAAAAAACAGCGGACGGAGAACAGGUUCGGAACACAUGGCGCCAAACGCGGGGCACGAUCACGUCAGAUCGCGCGGGCCGCACGCUUUAACGCUCCAAUUCGUAGGUGCGCGGCCGCGUUUUCGAAAGGGCACAUGAAAGGGCUUAGCGAGAGAGAAAGAGAGAGAGAUGAGCAACGGCGGCGAGGAGGCCGGCGCUCCAGCAAAAAACGCUUUUCUGAUGAGCUGCAACAAUGCACUCACUCCCACGACAUCAGCUCUCUGUUGGGAGUCUCCUCCUAAUUUCCUCCAUCCAUAAUAAAAAGAGCUACAUUAAACAGUGCCAUUAGUGCCAGCAAUUUGUUUUAUUCUCCACAGAAAGAGAAAUGUUAUCUGUGGCGGACAAACUUAACCCAAUUAAAGCUCAUUGUGUAUGGGGGCCUUGCUGGGUCUUCAGCUGAUGCCUAGGAACGAGGGCAGAGAAAGCCAACUUUGGGGAGGGAGAGGGGAAAAAAAGAGAACGGUUGGAGCACGUCUGGAGAAUUAGGGAAAGUAGGAGAGAGACAAAUGUGCUUUCAGGAAAAAAGACGGGAAGAGAAAUUAUGUUUUCGUACAAUUUCCCCCCACGUCAAAUCCCUCCCAAGAUGGCCCGAUAGAGGAACGCUGCCCAAGAUGUACGCUUUGAAACGAAAACGCACCGAUAAAUAGCCGAAGGAUUGAGGUGAAUGUAAAACAUUUCCAUCAAAUGGAAUAUAGAAAAAAAAGAAGGGAGGAACUGCGUACAAAGCCACACGUUCUGAGACACUCGCUCAUACCCUCACAUUUUUGCUGUUAAUUGUUGUGAUAACACCUCUCGAUUACAGGGGUUUAAUUAUCAACAUGUUUGGCUGUUAGAGCGAGUACCUGGCACAGAUCCUGGUGAAGGGCUCAAGGUUUCUAAUGAAGAUCUCACUCACAGCAGCAUACAGGAGGCUCAGUGUGGUGCUGUCCUAACAAAGAAGCACAUCGCGUUUAGAGACGACCUGGGUAUCUGUGAAUUCUAACACAAUAAUGCCAAGAAUAUUCAUAGUGAUACAUUUUGAUUGAUAUCCAGUUGUGCGGGAAUGGCAAGUGUCGGUCUCUGUGGGGAGAAAAAGUGAUUCUGUGUGAUUGCGGAGUUGUAACAGUAACUGAAUCG
Labeo rohita (rohu) is the source of this 3514-nucleotide long non-coding RNA. RefSeq lists it as uncharacterized. Lineage: Eukaryota; Metazoa; Chordata; Actinopteri; Cypriniformes; Cyprinidae. The transcript has 2 exons. The record is from RefSeq and is a predicted model, not a curated record.